GACGAACGCUGGCGGCGUGCUUAACACAUGCAAGUCGAACGGAAAGGCCCUGCUUUUGUGGGUUGCUCGAGUGGCGAACGGGUGAGUAACACGUGAGUAACCUGCCCUUGACUUUGGGAUAACUUCAGGAAACUGGGGCUAAUACCGGAUAGGAGCUCCUGCUGCAUGGUGGGGGUUGGAAAGUUUCGGCGGUUGGGGAUGGACUCGCGGCUUAUCAGCUUGUUGGUGGGGUAGUGGCUUACCAAGGCUUUGACGGGUAGCCGGCCUGAGAGGGUGACCGGCCACAUUGGGACUGAGAUACGGCACAGACUCCUACGGGAGGCAGCAGUGGGGAAUAUUGCACAAUGGGCGGAAGCCUGAUGCAGCAACGCCGCGUGCGGGAUGACGGCCUUCGGGUUGUAAACCGCUUUCGCCUGUGACGAAGCGUGAGUGACGGUAAUGGGUAAAGAAGCACCGGCUAACUACGUG
RNAcentral lists this ribosomal RNA (468 nucleotides) under uncultured bacterium. RNAcentral describes it as "partial 16S ribosomal RNA". It matches the Rfam family "Bacterial small subunit ribosomal RNA", at positions 28 to 507 of the family's 1533-position model. The record is from RNAcentral.